GGGGGGACAAGGAAAAGGGGGUGGGGAUUCAUUUGGGAUGGGAAUGGAGGAGGGAUCGGGAUGGGAAUGGAGGAGGGAUCGGGAUGGAGAAGGGAUGGGAUUGGGUGGAAAGGGGAUGGACAUGGAAGAAGGACGGGGAUAGGGUUGGGGUUGGAAUGGGAAUGGGAUGGACAUAGGGAUAGGGGCGGGGAUGGGGGUCGGGAUUGGGAUUGGGAUGGGAUGGACUGGGAGGAAGGACAGGGAAUAGGGCUGGGAAUGGGAUGGACAAGAACAAGGGAUGGGGUUGGGUGGAAAUGGGAUGGGCACGGAGGCGUUAUGGGGAUAGGGUUGGGAGGGGAACGGGAUGGACACGGGGGGAGGACGGGGUGGAGGUGAUGGCGGUGGGACGGGACCGGGUUUGGGCUGGUGAAAAGGCCAGGACCAUGCGUGUCCCCCCCCCGCCACGCAGGGAACAGCACCGCCUCCCACAUGGGCAUGGCUCUGGCCCGCGACGGCAACACCACCAUCGCCUGCGGCCCCGGGCUGACGCGCGAGUGCGACCGCAACGUCUACGUCAGCGGCGUCUGCCUGGUCCUCGGCCCCGACCUGCGGCCACAGGAGGAGCUGAACCCCGGCUACCAGGUGUGCCUGCCGGGCAUGGUGGACCUCGCCUUCCUCUUCGACGGCUCCAACAGCAUGAACUCGGCGCAGUUCGGGGCCAUCCGCGACUUCAUGGUGGAAGUGAUGGAGCAGCUGAGUAACAGCUCCAUCCGCGUGAGGAGGGGGCGCGGGGUGGGGGCAGCAGGGGCUGUAGGGCGAU
Molecule: long non-coding RNA, 799 nt
Filed under: Anser cygnoides (Swan goose)
Lineage: Eukaryota; Metazoa; Chordata; Aves; Anseriformes; Anatidae
Description: lncRNA (ENSACDG00005008169.1)
Source: RNAcentral